RNAcentral lists this long non-coding RNA (339 nucleotides) under Capsella grandiflora. RNAcentral describes it as "long non-coding RNA (CGRA_LNC000697)". Lineage: Eukaryota; Viridiplantae; Streptophyta; Magnoliopsida; Brassicales; Brassicaceae. The record is from RNAcentral.
UAACGGUCAGAUGAAAAUGCCUCCUGUUGCAGCUAAGGACCAGAAGAAGUCUGUUAAGUUUGCGGAAGAUGAUGACGAUGAGUUUAGUGAGGAUGAUUAUGAUGACGAGGACUUCAGUGAGGAUGAUUAUGAUGAUGAUGAGUUCGAUGAUGAUGAAGAUGACGAUGAGGAGAUGGGAGGACAUGGAGGAGGUAAUCACAUGCCUCCUAAUAAGAUGAUGAUGCCUAACAAAUUGCCUCAGAUGGGUGGUGGUGCUGGACCCAAGGGGCCUAAUGAGAUAAUGAUGAUGAUGAAUGGGUUCAAAGGCGGUGCUGGCGGCGGCGGAGGAAAGAAAGGCGG